RNAcentral lists this ribosomal RNA (292 nucleotides) under uncultured prokaryote. Its description in RNAcentral is "partial 16S ribosomal RNA". It matches the Rfam family "Bacterial small subunit ribosomal RNA", at positions 505 to 796 of the family's 1533-position model. The record is from RNAcentral.
GUGCCAGCCGCCGCGGUAAUACGGAGGGUGCGAGCGUUAAUCGGAAUUACUGGGCGUAAAGCGCAUGCAGGUGGUUUGUUAAGUCAGAUGUGAAAGCCCGGGGCUCAACCUCGGAAUUGCAUUUGAAACUGGCAGGCUAGAGUACUGUAGAGGGGGGUAGAAUUUCAGGUGUAGCGGUGAAAUGCAUAGAGAUCUGAAGGAAUACCGGUGGCGAAGGCGGCCCCCUGGACAGAUACUGACACUCAGAUGCGAAAGCGUGGGGAGCAAACAGGAUUAGAAACCCCCGUAGUCC